This is a long non-coding RNA of Cyprinus carpio (common carp), 1179 nucleotides long. Lineage: Eukaryota; Metazoa; Chordata; Actinopteri; Cypriniformes; Cyprinidae. The record is from Ensembl.
GUCGUUUCCAGGUAUGUUCACUAAGGGAAAAGGGAAGAGGCGUUUCUGGCAGUGAAUCUUGUUCCUGCUAAAAGGCUUAAACCAGUAGAAGUUGCUUUCCACCUUUUGCCAAAACAAUAUGAAAAAACCCCAAAAGAACAAGACCAACUAGUCCACUUGCAGGCAGGACUGGGCCGCAGGACUGUUUAUUUAGAUGAGAGCACAACACAUGAUGAGGUAAGCAGAUUCCAUAUGUAUAUUUGAAGAAUUCUGUUAAUUAGUCCUACCCGAUUCCUUUUUGAGAUGUGGCAACCAGGACUGGCAACCAUUUUAUUAUUAUUAUUAACCUUUAUUUUACCAAGUUGACUGACAUCCUUUUCUCAUUUGGAAAGAAAUCUGUUUGGAAGAAAGCUUCUUAGUAGUUACACAAACUACUAUAAAUUAUAUGAAGAAGUAGUCAUCGAGUUUAUAAUGGUCAGAUGUUUUAAUUCUGAUUUCUAAUAAGCUAAAAUGCAUCUAAUCAAGACUGAUGUUCUAGUACAAUCGUCCUUCAUUUCAACAGUUCUGCAUCCUUUCUAAGGAAACAAAAGUGUGGAGCAGCCAUUCCACUGCAGCUCCUGAUGGAACACUUGAAGUCUUGCAACAUCAUUGAUGUUGACAAUGAUGAAGACAACCUGGAUAAUAUGGAGGAUAACAGUGAACAAGCACCAGCUCAGGAGCCCUGUCCCAUCUGCAUGGAAAUGUUUACUGCUGACUUUAUUGAAGUACAUGCUGCUUCGUGUGGUGAAAGUGAUGGAAUGUAUGAGGUGUUGGAUAGGAGUACUGUUGAAGAGCAAGCAGCAAUGCUUGUACAGUAGUGAAAAAGUUACAGAUGAGUGGCUCACGGUACAAGACCCUACCAAGGUCAUGUCUCUGUUUCGGGAAUCUAUUCUUAGCCAUCAUGAAAGUAAGAAUCCCUUACUUCUCAGCAUGGAUAUUAGAAAGAGCCCUGCUGAACAAGACGCUGCGCUCAUCUGCUUCUAUAAGAAGCCGAAAGUGGAAUGGGCACGACCCUUGAAUUGCAGACUUGAAGGUGAUGCAGCCAUUGGAGAGGGUGUGAGUCGCUUUUUCCUCUCAACUUGCAUGAACAAGCUGAAGUCUGGGUUUUGCUUCAACUUUGGUAUGUUGACUGUAGCUAUGUGUAAGCUGACUUGUCAUUAG